AGUGAACGCUGGCGGUAGGCCUAACACAUGCAAGUCGAACGGCAGCACAGUAAGAGCUUGCUCUUACGGGUGGCGAGUGGCGGACGGGUGAGGAAUACAUCGGAAUCUACUUUUUCGUGGGGGAUAACGUAGGGAAACUUACGCUAAUACCGCAUACGACCUACGGGUGGAAGCAGGGGAUCUUCGGACCUUGCGCGAUUGAAUGAGCCGAUGUCGGAUUAGCUAGUUGGCGGGGUAAAGGCCCACCAAGGCGACGAUCCGUAGCUGGUCUGAGAGGAUGAUCAGCCACACGGGAACUGAGACACGGUCCAGACUCCUACGGGAGGCAGCAGUGGGGAAUAUUGGACAAUGGGCGCAAGCCUGAUCAAGCCAUACCGCGUGGGUGAAGAAGGCCUUCGGGUUGUAAAGCCCUUUUGUUGGGAAAGAAAAGCAGCAGGUUAAUACCCCGCUGUUCUGACGGUACCCAAAGAAUAAGCACCGGCUAACUUCGUG
Molecule: ribosomal RNA, 492 nt
Filed under: uncultured bacterium
Lineage: Bacteria
Description: partial 16S ribosomal RNA
Rfam family: Bacterial small subunit ribosomal RNA
Source: RNAcentral